RNAcentral lists this ribosomal RNA (673 nucleotides) under Nostoc cf. edaphicum LEGE 07299. Its description in RNAcentral is "partial 23S ribosomal RNA". It matches the Rfam family "Bacterial large subunit ribosomal RNA", at positions 1 to 669 of the family's 2925-position model. Lineage: Bacteria; Bacillati; Cyanobacteriota; Cyanophyceae; Nostocales; Nostocaceae. The record is from RNAcentral.
GAUCAAGUGCCUUAAGAGCAUUCGGUGGAUGCCUUGGCGCUGAGAGGCGAUGAAGGACGUGAUACGCUGCGAUAAGCCGUGGGGAGCUGCGAAUGAGCUUUGAUCCGCGGAUUUCCGAAUGGGGAAACCCACCUUCGACAAUUCGUAUUGUAGUCUCUGUCUGCAAGGGCAGAGCCUGCACUACGAAUUGUCACAUGAAGGUAUUGAGCCCUGAAUACAUAGGGGUUCAAAGCUAACCCAGGGAACUGAAACAUCUAAGUACCUGGAGGAAAGGACAUCAACGAGACUCCGUUAGUAGUGGCGAGCGAACGCGGACCAGGCCAGUGCCUGACUGUAAGUUACCGGAAGUGGUUGGGAAACCACGCAUUAAUGGGUGAUAGCCCCGUACGGAUCUGCAAACAGUUGGGACAUGAGUAAGGCGGGACACGUGAAAUCCUGUCUGAACGUGGGGGGACCACCCUCCAAGCCUAAGUACUCCUCAGCGACCGAUAGUGAACAAGUACCGUGAGGGAAAGGUGAAAAGCACCCCGACGAGGGGAGUGAAACAGCACCUGAAACCGAAUGCUUACAAACAGUGGGAGCUCAAGGUUCGUCCUGGGUGACCGCGUACCUUUUGUAUAAUGGGUCAGCGACUUAAUCUGACGAGCAAGCUUAAGCCGAUAGGCGUAGGCGC